This 494-nucleotide ribosomal RNA is filed under the name uncultured bacterium. RNAcentral's name for it is "partial 16S ribosomal RNA". It matches the Rfam family "Bacterial small subunit ribosomal RNA", at positions 28 to 523 of the family's 1533-position model. The record is from RNAcentral.
GAUGAACGCUGGCGGCGUGCUUAACACAUGCAAGCCGAACGGGAAACCUUUUAUUGAAGCUUCGGCAGAUUUAGCUGGUUUCUAGUGGCGGACGGGUGAGUAACGCGUGGGUAACCUGCCUUAUACAGGGGGAUAACAACCAGAAAUGGUUGCUAAUACCGCAUAAGCGCACAGGACCGCAUGGUCCAGUGGGAGAAACUCCGGUGGUAUAAGAUGGACCCGCGUUGGAUUAGCUAGUUGGCAGGGUAACGGCCUACCAAGGCGACGAUCCAUAGCCGGCCUGAGAGGGUGAACGGCCACAUUGGGACUGAGACACGGCCCAGACUCCUACGGGAGGCAGCAGUGGGGAAUAUUGCACAAUGGGGGAAACCCUGAUGCAGCGACGCCGCGUGAAGGAAGAAGUAUCUCGGUAUGUAAACUUCUAUCAGCAGGGAAGAUAGUGACGGUACCUGACUAAGAAGCCCCGGCUAACUACGUGCCAGCCGCCGCGGUAA